GAAGAGAGAGAAGUUGGUAGAGAGAGAGAAGCUCUGGCGACAGGCACGCAAGACGCCACCCGCCGCCGGCAAACAACCACCGUAACCAAACACACAUACUAACCACUUCAUCACUGUAAAUAUGGCAAGAGUAGUCACACCAGAAAGUGGAAUCCCACAAGAGCUAACCCCAAGACCCCUUAUGCACUGGUUCACUGGAAUGGGGAGUGCCCCGACGGUCAUGCAGGCACCACCGGAGAAAGGCGGAUGGAUCGACGAUGGCCAGAAAACUCACCUACUCCACUGAACCUAAAAUAGCGGAGAAACCGAUAAUGGCGGAAGUUGUAAAAGGCUUUAUGCACUUCACUGGAAUGGAGAGUGCCCCGACGGUCAUGCAGGCACCGCCGGAGAAGGUGAAAGAGGGUGCGGAUGGAGCGACGAUGGCCAGAAAACUCACCUACUCCACUGAACCAAAAAUAGCG
RNAcentral lists this long non-coding RNA (461 nucleotides) under Nicotiana benthamiana. RNAcentral's name for it is "long non-coding RNA (NBEN_LNC029659)". Lineage: Eukaryota; Viridiplantae; Streptophyta; Magnoliopsida; Solanales; Solanaceae. The record is from RNAcentral.